RNAcentral lists this ribosomal RNA (240 nucleotides) under uncultured bacterium. RNAcentral's name for it is "partial 16S ribosomal RNA". It matches the Rfam family "Bacterial small subunit ribosomal RNA", at positions 93 to 334 of the family's 1533-position model. The record is from RNAcentral.
GACCGGCGCACGGGUGAGUAACGCGUAUGCAACCUGCCCGAUACCGGGGUAUAGCCCAUGGAAACGUGGAUUAACACCCCAUAGUACUUUUAUCCUGCAUGAGAUGUGAGUUAAAUGUUCAAGGUAUCGGAUGGGCAUGCGUCCUAUUAGUUAGUUGGCGGGGUAACAGCCCACCAAGACGAUGAUAGGUAGGGGUUCUGAGAGGAAGGUCCCCCACAUUGGAACUGAGACACGGUCCAA